CACUUAUGUGUGUUUCCUCCAAAUAUACCCCCAACGAAACAAAAAAACCGAUGUAAAGACCUAGGGUUUUGACGCUGCUCAAUAUAAAUACUCGCGUUGCACAAUUAGAGCUAAAACCUCUACUGUUUGCCGCUGUUGAGCUUUUUCACUUGCAAACCCUAGCAGCCUUUCGUUCGGCAGAAGAGGAAGAAUGGGGCACUCCAACAUCUGGAAUUCUCAUCCCAAAACCUACGGCCCUGGCUCCCGCACUUGGUAUAACCGUCUCGGUUCAUUAAUCAAUGUUAAUUUCUGGAUUUUUGUUUGUUAUUUCUUUAAUUCCUAUUUUAUAUGUGGAUUUAUGAUUUUGUUGAUCUUCUUCGCUACCUGGUUAUUGAUGGAAAGUACCCAAUUUCGUUGUUUGAAAGGACUUGAGGAAGGUGUUUAGUAAUUCAAGCAUUAUACUGAUGUCCAACACAUUUAUCUUUUGUUCUAAUCAACUUGAUCCGCGAUGCCUAAUCUGAAGUUACAAUAAUACAUAAGAGUUGUUUAUUUUAAUUCUAAACUCCAAGUCCUGGUUACAUUUCUUGGCAAUUCAUAAAUGUGAAUGUGAUGGCUUUAAACGAAGAAUAUAUGUAAGUUUUUGGAGUCUAAUAUUCGUUAUUUGAAUUCCUAUCUCAUUUAUUCUUUGUAUACCCUCUUGUCAAUUUUAUAUGGUUUUCUGCUUUGUUCUAUCAGUUUUGACUCUGAAAGUGUGGAUAUAUUUAGGUUUAUUUUGUUCCUUUUUGGGCCUUUAGUUUGUUAGGAGUUCGUCUCAUACAGUCAUAUUUGGGUGUGGAAGCUUUAAUUUCUCAACUGAUUCAUCAUGCUUCAUGAGGUGCUGGAUGCGUCUUGGACCCAUGAAUUCAGAUGAGGGCAGUGUUAACUAUUGUGUUUUCAUACUUGCAAUAAGCUAAAAUUGUAUAUGAUAGAUGUUGUAAUUAAGAGUUUGCCAAGUUCUCUUGUUCACUUUUUACAUUUUUCAACUUUCUUUUGGAGAAAGAAGAUUAUUUCUACCUUCUCUUCUAGUACAUGCUGUCUCUACACUAAAGCAUACAUUACUGUAAUUUUUGACCAAGUUUUUUUAAACUCGCCAUCUUAGGUUACUUUAAUGCGUAUUGAUUUAAUCACGGAAGAUAUAUAAUGGGAAGUCCUUCUAAAUUUUGUACCAAUAUUGCUAUUUUAACUAAUGGUAAUUUGUAUUUAGUUUGAAGAGACAUUGGUAUAAUUGGAAAUGAACUUCAAAAUUUUCUUGCCAUCUUGAGUAACAACCAAUAAGAAUUUUUUAUUUUUCCCUCACGUUUUCUCAUGGGAGUUAAGCAUAACUGUUGACAUUUUAAAUCCUUUAAUUUGGCAGCCGUGUUUGUGGGAACCCCCAUGGUAUAAUUCGAAAGUAUGGGCUCAUGUGUUGCAGACAAUGCUUUCGCAGCAAUGCUAAGGAAAUAGGCUUCAUCAAGGUAAUCAGCUGAAUUUUUUAGAAAUAUUUUGAUGACAUGGGUUUCUGUACAAAGCUUUUUAUAUGCAAUUGUUUCUAUAUACUUAGAGAUAAGUUUUCGAUGGGUUUUGUCAUUAGCUGUACAUCUAUAGGGAUGGAUUCUAGUGCAACAUUGUAAAAUUUUUGCUAGCACGAUUAGAGCAUCUACUGGUUCGUUGCCUAUAUGGUUCACAUUUUAUAUUUUUUAUAGGAUGACUAAUUAUCGUGAAUUUUUUAUUUUUUUUGCAGUAUCGCUAAGCAGUCAAGCCAAGUUUUGUACUAGAGGAAGAUUUCUCUUAAUGGGAUGCUAUUAGUUAUUUCAGAUUUACCUUUUUAAAUCGUCUCCUGCCUUUGUUCUCAAAAUGGAUGUAUUGAGGAUGAUUAUUCCAAGUUUAUAAUUGAACUUGAAGUGAUAUUUGAACAGACAAAUUAAUAUUUGCUUAUUUCAUAGUUGUGACCAUUGCUUCUAUGCACCCAUUAUAGUCAAUGAUGUUGCUCAGCACAACUUGAAUUAGUAUUCCCAUAGUAUCCUGUGGAAGGCAAAUCCUUCUCUAAGGUUUCUUCGAAGUGGUAUUCUACUUUGAAUUGUAGAAUCAUGAAAGCUUAAGACAAUUUAUAUAUGCUUGAUGAUGAAUUGGGUGAUAGGCAACAUCAAACUUGGCCUUGUUACCGAUGAGAAUUUGGAGUAGCUACAUGAUUUCUCUUUUGCUGCGCUUAUGCAAGAGACCAUGUUCCUU
RNAcentral lists this long non-coding RNA (2226 nucleotides) under Olea europaea subsp. europaea. The record is from RNAcentral. Lineage: Eukaryota; Viridiplantae; Streptophyta; Magnoliopsida; Lamiales; Oleaceae.